RNAcentral lists this ribosomal RNA (739 nucleotides) under [Candida] sp. RNAcentral describes it as "Candida sp. (in: Saccharomycetales) partial large subunit ribosomal RNA". It matches the Rfam family "Eukaryotic large subunit ribosomal RNA", at positions 71 to 870 of the family's 3401-position model. The record is from RNAcentral. Lineage: Eukaryota; Fungi; Ascomycota; Saccharomycetes; Saccharomycetales.
GGGAUUGCCUUAGUAGCGGCGAGUGAAGCGGCAAUAGCUCAAAUUUGAAAUCUGGCACCUUCGGUGUCCGAGUUGUAAUUUGAAGAAGGUAUCUUUGGUUUUGGCUCUUGUCUAUGUUUCUUGGAACAGGACGUCAUAGAGGGUGAGAAUCCCGUCUGAUGAGAUGCCCAAUUCCAUGUAAAGUUCCUUCGACGAGUCGAGUUGUUUGGGAAUGCAGCUCUAAGUGGGUGGUAAAUUCCAUCUAAAGCUAAAUAUUGGCGAGAGACCGAUAGCGAACAAGUACUGUGAAGGAAAGAUGAAAAGAACUUUGAAAAGAGAGUGAAAAAGUACGUGAAAUUGUUGAAAGGGAAGGGUUUGAGGUCAGACUUGGUUUACCAGGCCAGCAUCGGUUUAGAUGGCAGGAUAAUGGCAAAGGAAUGUGGCUUGGCUUCGGUCAAGUGUUAUAGCCUCUGUUGAUACUGCCUAUUUAGACCGAGGACUGCGUCUUUGACAAGGAUGCUGGCAUAAUGGCCUUAAGCCACCCGUCUUGAAACACGGACCAAGGAGUCUAACGUCUAUGCGAGUGUUUGGGUGUAAAACCCGUACGCGUAAUGAAAGUGAACGUAGGUGAGAGCCCUUUGGGUGCAUCAUCGACCGAUCCUGAUGUCUUCGGAUGGAUUUGAGUAGAGCAUAGCUGUUAGGACCCGAAGAUGGUGAACUAUGCCUGAAUAGGGGUGAAGCCAGAGGAAACUUCUUGUUG